CAAUAGCGUAUAUUAAAGUUGUUGCAGUUAAAAAGCUCGUAGUUGGAUUUGUGGUCUGAGGCGAGGCUCGGCAUUGCGCUGUGACUUUUGCCUCGGAUCAUCCUUGGGUGGAAUCUGUGUGGCAUUAGGUUGUCGUGCAGGGGAUGCCCAUCGUUUACUGUGAAAAAAUUAGAGUGUUCAAAGCAGGCUUAUGCCGUUGAAUAUAUUAGCAUGGAAUAAUGAGAUAGGACCUGGGUACUAUUUUGUUGGUUUGCGCACCCUGGUAAUGAUUAAUAGGGUCAGUUGGGGGUAUUCGUAUUCCAUUGUCAGAGGUGAAAUUCUUGGAUUUCUGGAAGACGAACUACUGCGAAAGCAUUUACCAAGGAUGUUUUCAUUAA
RNAcentral lists this ribosomal RNA (377 nucleotides) under uncultured eukaryote. RNAcentral's name for it is "partial 18S ribosomal RNA". It matches the Rfam family "Eukaryotic small subunit ribosomal RNA", at positions 592 to 976 of the family's 1831-position model. The record is from RNAcentral.